GUGGGGAAUUUUUCGCAAUGGGCGAAAGCCUGACGAAGCAACGCCGCGUGGAGGAUGAAGGCCUUCGGGUCGUAAACUCCUGUCGACCGGGACGAAAGCAGUCUGGCCGAACAAGCCGGGCUGUUGACUGUACCGGUGGAGGAAGCCACGGCUAACUCUGUGCCAGCAGCCGCGGUAAUACAGAGGUGGCAAGCGUUGUUCGGAAUUACUGGGCGUAAAGGGCGCGUAGGCGGCCCGAUAAGUCCCGCGUGAAAGCCCCCGGCUCAACUGGGGAACUGCGCGGGAAACUGACGGGCUUGAGUUCGGGAGAGGGAAGCGGAAUUCCGGGUGUAGCGGUGAAAUGCGUAGAUAUCCGGAGGAACACCAGUGGCGAAGGCGGCUUCCUGGACCGACACUGACGCUGAGGCGCGAAAGCUAGGGGAGCAAACGGGAUUAGAAACCCGAGUAGUCC
This 451-nucleotide ribosomal RNA is filed under the name uncultured bacterium. Its description in RNAcentral is "bacterial SSU rRNA". It matches the Rfam family "Bacterial small subunit ribosomal RNA", at positions 354 to 796 of the family's 1533-position model. The record is from RNAcentral.